AGCCUGGUGCUUGCACCGGGUGGAUGAGUGGCGAACGGGUGAGUAACACGUGAGUAACCUGCCCCUGACUUCGGGAUAAGCCCGGGAAACUGGGUCUAAUACCGGAUACGACUGCCGGACGCAUGUCUGGUGGUGGAAAGUUUUUUCGGUUGGGGAUGGGCUCGCGGCCUAUCAGUUUGUUGGUGAGGUAAUGGCUCACCAAGACGACGACGGGUAGCCGGCCUGAGAGGGCGACCGGCCACACUGGGACUGAGACACGGCCCAGACUCCUACGGGAGGCAGCAGUGGGGAAUAUUGCACAAUGGGGGAAACCCUGAUGCAGCGACGCAGCGUGCGGGAUGACGGCCUUCGGGUUGUAAACCGCUUUCAGCAGGGAAGAAGCGCAAGUGACGGUACCUGCAGAAGAAGUACCGGCUAACUACGUGCCAGCAGCCGCGGUAAUACGUAGGGUACGAGCGUUGUCCGGAAUUAUUGGGCGUAAAGAGCUCGUAGGUGGUUGGUCACGUCUGCUGUGGAAACGCAACGCUUAACGUUGCGCGUGCAGUGGGUACGGGCUGACUAGAGUGCAGUAGGGGAGUCUGGAAUUCCUGGUGUAGCGGUGAAAUGCGCAGAUAUCAGGAGGAACACCGGUGGCGAAGGCGGGACUCUGGGCUGUAACUGACACUGAGGAGCGAAAGCAUGGGGAGCGAACAGGAUUAGAU
Molecule: ribosomal RNA, 701 nt
Filed under: Brevibacterium sp.
Lineage: Bacteria; Bacillati; Actinomycetota; Actinomycetes; Micrococcales; Brevibacteriaceae
Description: bacterial SSU rRNA
Rfam family: Bacterial small subunit ribosomal RNA
Source: RNAcentral